Molecule: ribosomal RNA, 261 nt
Filed under: uncultured prokaryote
Description: partial 16S ribosomal RNA
Rfam family: Bacterial small subunit ribosomal RNA
Source: RNAcentral
CACGUAGGGGGCGAGCGUUGUCCGGAAUUACUGGGCGUAAAGGGUGCGUAGGCGGUCUGUUAAGUCAGAUGUGAAAGACCUGGGCUCAACCAGGGAUGUGCAUCUGAGACUGGCGGACUUGAGUGCAGGAGAGGGAAGUGGAAUUUCUAGUGUAGCGGUGGAAUGCGUAGAUAUUAGGAAGAACACCAGUGGCGAAGGCGGCUUCCUGGACUGUAACUGACGCUGAGGCACGAAAGCGUGGGGAGCGAACAGGAUUAGAUA